AGGAACACCAAGUGAGGUGAUGUACAUACAACCAUGUGGAGGAACACCAUGUGAGGUGAUGUACAUACAACCAUGUGGAGGAACACCAUGUGAGGUGAUGUACAUACAACCAUGUG
Homarus americanus (American lobster) is the source of this 116-nucleotide long non-coding RNA. RefSeq lists it as uncharacterized. NCBI's taxonomy places the organism in Eukaryota, Metazoa, Arthropoda, Malacostraca, Decapoda, Nephropidae. The transcript is spliced from 3 exons. The record is from RefSeq and is a predicted model, not a curated record.